UAGCUGUCCUAUCAGAAGCUCCAGCAGU
RNAcentral lists this non-coding RNA (28 nucleotides) under Rattus norvegicus (Norway rat). The record is from RNAcentral. Lineage: Eukaryota; Metazoa; Chordata; Mammalia; Rodentia; Muridae.